AGCCUUUCUGGUUCAUUAGUGUGAUGACUGAGUGCUCUCGUUAUAUGAGAUCUGCCUCCCUUUAAACCUUGUUACCAUCUUGGCACGUUACCCAUCUGACA
Molecule: small nucleolar RNA, 101 nt
Filed under: Sciurus vulgaris (Eurasian red squirrel)
Lineage: Eukaryota; Metazoa; Chordata; Mammalia; Rodentia; Sciuridae
Description: Small nucleolar RNA U13 (ENSSVLG00005005689.1)
Rfam family: Small nucleolar RNA U13
Source: Rfam by way of RNAcentral